CCCAGGCCCGAGAGGGGUCGCCGCUUACGUCUCGCAGCCCGAGGGGAGGCCGCUCGGCCUCGGCCGCUCACAGGCGCGACGUAAAGGCCCGGCGUCACCGGCCCGGCUUAACGGUGCAACGGCUGGCCUGGGCCUGCAACUCUGGGGUCCCGGCCGGGCUGGAGCGGCCGCCGGAGAGACCUGUUCACUGCAUUCGGUUCUUGCGGUCCUUUCUUAAGCGGCUCGCAGGGUCCCGAGCCCCUCAGCUCCCCGGGCCUCGGUGGCCCAGGGCCCAGCUCAGCCGACUGGGCAGUCGAUGUAGGUCCUGAGAAGAGCGGCGGCGGCGGCGGCGGCGGCGGCGAAGGAAAAGCGACACUGAAGCGAAGGCUCGCGGUUUCGGCCUAAAGGAAAGUGCAGGGGAGGCCCGGGUCUCGGGUGACACCCCCACGCCUUGAGCGGGACUGUGGUUGCGAGGGAGGGACGAGAAAACACGCCUACGCCCUGCGUGCGCUGUGCUGACUACCUCUCCAGCAUGGAGGCUUCCAGAUGAGCAGACACCCGAAUCCCAGCGGGAGCCCGUCAAAAAUGGAGAUUUCUGCCGUCACUCUGGGACUCUUAAUUCGGUCCGUCUGGGGUGGGGCCCAGGAAUCUGCAUUUCUGAUAAGGUCACCCGCUCCCCUCCCCCAUUAUUCCAGUGCAAAGAGGUCCUAGGCCCAGUGCCCAUCAGCUCCUCAAGACAGGAAUUACUAUAUCUUUUUCUGACAACUGUUAACUUUGUACAAGGUUAGCAAAUAAAUCCAGGAAUGAAUGGAAUCUUAAAACUCGUAAAACAACAAUGAAAGGUAAUUCACACAAAAGAUACAAAAUCCAAAAUUGUCAAAAAAGAUACAGG
RNAcentral lists this long non-coding RNA (871 nucleotides) under Homo sapiens (human). RNAcentral describes it as "non-protein coding lnc-FNBP1L-2:2". The record is from RNAcentral. Lineage: Eukaryota; Metazoa; Chordata; Mammalia; Primates; Hominidae.